CCUCUCUCCGUCUCCACGAGACAGCGCCCCUUCCCACGCCUCCUUUUCGUUUUUUUCCUCUCUCGUGGAGGUGGCGUAGGGUUUGAGGACGGCGAGAUCUCGCCGUCGUCGUAGGAGGAGAGCGGCGGCGGAGGACUCCCCCGGCGCUGACACACCACCGGGGCCGGCUGUCACCGCCAUGCUGCCGGCGCACUCCCGCCGGGCCGCAGGUCCUCUCCUUUAUUGGCUUGGUUCUCUUCAGGCUAUUGGUAAGUUCUAGAUCUGCUCGAUUGUGCGGGUUCCCACACAUUUUUCUGAUGAUGCUUGCCCUCCUAUUUCAUGGCUUGCUUGUGCGGCUUGCUCGGUUCCUGUUGUCUGCUGGCUUCCUCUGAUCUCCACGCCGCCGCUGUUUCCUCCGUCAUUAGCUGAUUCCAGCCCUCCCCCAAUUCUGCCCUGCCGCAUAUGUCGACAUCAAAUCCGGUUUUUUUUCUACUGCGUCGUCGUCGUCAAGGGAAUCUGGGCGACGGUUUGGAUGCUCUCUCUCCAGCGGGCUGAGACCUCACAGAUUAGUUUGGGUUAAUUUCCUAUAAAGGUUCAGAUCUUGCCUUUUUGCAAGCAUCUGCUGUCGAGAUGUGUUCUUUCCCUUAGAUGCAGCAAUCAUACCAAAACAAGCUGCUUAAGGUCCUCACUGAUUAAUAUCUAAUAUACUAUUAGUUUUUGUAUGAACUUUUAUCUACAGUGCAUUUGAGGACUUAAGUAGCGAGCUGUUAAGGUCCAUGCUGAUUAAUAUCUGAUAUGCAUUUUGCAUGAGCCUCUCUAUUCAACAAAUCCGAGAAUAUGAAUAAUGAACUUAUCUGUACAAUGUAUCAAAAAACAUGCUGAGCAUUGGUGUCUAUUCUGAUUACAAUCUGUAGCUUGCCAAUUGAGUGGUAACUGGUAAGACAUUUAGUUCCUGCUUCGUGAGAAAUAAUUUGCUUAUUAUACCUCUUUUGCUAAGUAAUAUUUGAGUCUUUGUUCUCAUGCUAUUAUUGCUAUAAUCAGCCGUUAAUAUUCAUAGCUACCGGCGGAGUAUGACUGCAUUAGCCACCUUUUAUCAUGUUCACUGACAGUAAAUUUAAAUAGAAACUACUGUUGCUAUCUUCUAUCCAUUUAUUCUGCUCCUAUUUUAAUUGUACCUUUUUUAUUUUAUUUGCAAGAUCAGAUCUGCCAUUACAAAUUAUUUCAACUGCAAACUGCAGAGUACUUGAACAUUUGAUUUCGCUUGUGACAUUACCUCUAAUUGCCAUUACAAAUAGGUGCCCAUACUUCUGCAAAUAGAAGUGCAAAGUGCAUAGCCGUAUUUUUGAAGACAUCAGUAAACUAGCAGAGAAAACUUUAUUUCGAAAUUGAAAGUAUACAUGAUUAGGCUUACCAGUUUAUUUUUUGAAAGUGCUUUCCAGUUUAUUCAUAGAGCAAAGUGCAACACAUUGGCGCAUUUUUUACCCUAACUUGAAAUACAUGACCCAUGUUCUAUUAUAUCCAUGGUUACAUGACUUUUGAUGCAGUCAUAACAUGUGACUGAUGGGGUUUUUCCCCCUAAAUUGGUUUCUACUGCAGUCAUUUUUAUGCUGUUAAUAAUCAGAAAAAUGUAUUUUCAUUUACAUGCUUGGCUGAUAGUUAUGGUACACAAGCUACCAAAUAAAAAUAUUCUCAGAGUAGCAGCAAUAGGGAGACAUGGUUUUCAUAAAUUUUUCUAAUAACACAGGUCUGCAGUUAUAUGGCAUCACAUAGGCUGUAAAAGAAUGAAAUAUGAAUAUGUGGUAGGACUGAACUUCAAAAUUAUGAGUAUGAUCUAUUGUGGUCAGGUUUCUGACUCAUUUCUCUUACAUGUUUCAAGGCAUUUGGCUUAGAUCGAUUGAUAUGGGCAAUUGGGCAUGCAGACAUGAACAUUGUUGAUAGAUUUGAACUUGAGUAAGGAUAAAGUUAAAAGAAUGAAGCAAGAACUGGCCACUAAAAAGAUUGACAAAUUAUAUGCGUCCAGAGUGUUCCCGCUGUCUUAGACGCUCUAUUCUCCUGGCGCGGCGUAGCGCGCCUUCCUUCCUAGUGCACAGGAUUCGCGUGCAUAUUCUCGAGGACAUUUUGGGCGGCUGGCCAUCUCUCCCCGGGCCCUGACCCUUCCCCGACUUGACUCGUCUUCCCGGGCCAGCAGCCUUCAUGCAUACCUUCAAUGGCGUCGGAAGAUUCCUGCAGGGGGCUAAAACGGGUGGUGUGCGGUGUGCCUGGAUCGAGCAGGUUUCAUGGUGUAGCCAUAUGUGAGCAGGAUAACACCACAAGUACUGCAUGCUGCUGCUAGUGCUACUUAUCUCCAGGGGCGGAGCCAGGAAUUUCAAAUGAGAGGGGCCAAGCAGCCAUUUGGAGGGGGCCAAAAGAGUGCUGAUCCCUCCAUCAUCCAGCAGGAGCAGAGUUCCCCUUCCCCUCCAACAUUCAGCUACGGCAGGAUAAAGUCAAGGUCCAUUCAUGCUGGAUCAAGUCAAGGUCCAGCCUAUCAUGACAUGCUAUAAUUCAUUGUUAGAGCGGGUGGAUUAAUAUUUACAUGUCAUAUUUUUGUAAGCGCUGAACUUUUUUUUUCACCAAAAGUGAAAGCUUGUAGUAACUGCUUGUGUGCAGCUUGUUGAAGUCCCAUGAAUGUUGCUUCAGGCCUUGUUUAGAUGUGUAAAGUUUUGGGUGUAAAGUACUGUAACAUUUUGUUUGUAUUUGGUAAUUAUUGUUCCGUCAUAGAUUAAUUAGUUUCAAAAAAUUCGUCUCGGAAAUUAUAAAUAAACUGUGUAAUUAGUUAUUUUGUUUAGCUACAUUUAAUAGUUCAUGUGUUGAAAUAUUCGAUA
Molecule: long non-coding RNA, 2840 nt
Organism: Panicum virgatum (switchgrass)
Lineage: Eukaryota; Viridiplantae; Streptophyta; Magnoliopsida; Poales; Poaceae
Exons: 3
Source: RefSeq, a predicted model, not a curated record